Molecule: ribosomal RNA, 396 nt
Filed under: uncultured bacterium
Lineage: Bacteria
Description: partial 16S ribosomal RNA
Rfam family: Bacterial small subunit ribosomal RNA
Source: RNAcentral
AUACGGAGGGUGCAAGCGUUAAUCGGAAUUACUGGGCGUAAAGCGCACGCAGGCGGUUUGUUAAGUCAGAUGUGAAAUCCCCGGGCUCAACCUGGGAACUGCAUCUGAUACUGGCCAGCUUGAGUCUCGUAGAGGGGGGUAGAAUUCCAGGGGGCGCGGUGAAGUGCGUAGAGAUCUGGAGGAAUACCGGUGGCGAAGGCGGCCCCCUGGACGAAGACUGACGCUCAGGUGCGAAAGCGUGGGGAGCAAACAGGAUUAGAUACCCUGGUAGUCCACGCCGUAAACGAUGUCGACUUGGAGGUUGUGCCCUUGAGGCGUGGCUUCCGGAGCUAACGCGUUAAGUCGACCGCCUGGGGAGUACGGCCGCAAGGUUAAAACUCAAAUGAAUUGGCGGGG